GUCGCUCACCUUGGUAUAUGUGAAUAUUAAACAAAAGAAGCAGAUAGAUUCAUGACAAAAUUGUGUUUUGGUGAUGGUGAUGUGUUUGUACAUCUUACUUUACUGAACAUUUUUGCUGCUUACAAUUAUCUCUAUCUAUAAUGAACUUGGCCCAGUAGUUUCAGUGGAAAAUGUUAGUAAAAAUUUACAAAUUUUAUGAAAAUUGUUAAAAAUUGACUAUAAAGGACAAUUACUCCUUAGGGGUCAAUUGACCAUUUCAGUCAUGUUGACUUAUUUGUAAAUCUUACUUU
This 290-nucleotide long non-coding RNA is filed under the name Mytilus galloprovincialis (Mediterranean mussel). The record is from RNAcentral. Lineage: Eukaryota; Metazoa; Mollusca; Bivalvia; Mytilida; Mytilidae.